Long non-coding RNA from Eriocheir sinensis (Chinese mitten crab), 485 nucleotides. RefSeq lists it as uncharacterized. Lineage: Eukaryota; Metazoa; Arthropoda; Malacostraca; Decapoda; Varunidae. The record is from RefSeq and is a predicted model, not a curated record. The transcript has 3 exons.
CAGCGCAGAAAAGGAAUAAGUUUAAUUGGUCGCCAGAUGAAACGGUCUUCUUACAUCAAAUUCAAGAAAAAAUACGUAUAAUCAGAGGGUGUUAUGGGAAGAGUAUCACCCCUGAGGAUAAGAAGAGAGCGUGGACUGAAGUGGCAGAAGCUGUAACAAGUGCCUUCCCUGGGAGUGGACCCCGUACGCAGGAUGACUGUGAGAGGCGUUGGUACAACGUACAACAAAAAUCAAAGCCUUGCAUUGCCAAGUGCAAGAAUGAGCAGCAGCAGACUGAUACACACUUUAUCAGUAUUGCUAGAGACCAUCCCAGCACAUUGUUCAUUACUUGUGGAAAAGAUACCAUUAGCUGCUCCGGCAACAGCCACCGCUUCAAUAUCUGCUGGCCCUAUGACACCAGCCACUGCUUCAUCAUCUGCUGGCCCUAUGACACCAGCCACUGUUUCAUCAUCUGCUGGCCCUAUGACACCAGCCACUGCUUCAUC